UCCGAGUUGACCCCGGCAGUCUCCCGCAAGUCCCCAGCCGGCCGAAACCGCUGCUGGCAAUACAGGACGAGGGUUGCGCUCGUUGCGGGACUUAACCCAACAUCUCACGACACGAGCUGACGACAACCAUGCACCACCUGUGCACGACCCCAAAGGACACGCGAUCUCUCGCGCUGCACCGUGCAUGUCAAGCCCUGGUAAGGUUCUUCGCGUCGCAUCGAAUUAAGCCGCAUGCUCCGCCGCUUGUGCGGGCCCCCGUCAAUUCCUUUGAGUUUUAGCCUUGCGGCCGUACUCCCCAGGCGGGGCGCUUAAUGCGUUAGCUGCGGCACGGAGCCCGUGGAAACAGGCCCCACACCUAGCGCCCAACGUUUACGGCGUGGACUAC
Molecule: unclassified non-coding RNA, 385 nt
Filed under: uncultured Actinomycetes bacterium
Lineage: Bacteria; Bacillati; Actinomycetota; Actinomycetes
Description: uncultured actinobacterium contains 16S-23S intergenic spacer region
Source: RNAcentral